RNAcentral lists this ribosomal RNA (1468 nucleotides) under Salmonella enterica subsp. enterica serovar Infantis str. CVM 23729. RNAcentral describes it as "bacterial LSU rRNA". It matches the Rfam family "Bacterial large subunit ribosomal RNA", at positions 1 to 1524 of the family's 2925-position model. Lineage: Bacteria; Pseudomonadati; Pseudomonadota; Gammaproteobacteria; Enterobacterales; Enterobacteriaceae. The record is from RNAcentral. RNAcentral also lists the same sequence under 1 other name.
GGGUUGUGAGGUUAAGCGACUAAGCGUACACGGUGGAUGCCCUGGCAGUCAGAGGCGAUGAAGGGCGUGCUAAUCUGCGAUAAGCGCCGGUAAGGUGAUAUGAACCGUUAUAACCGGCGAUACCCGAAUGGGGAAACCCAGUGUGACUCGUCACACUAUCAUUAACUGAAUCCAUAGGUUAAUGAGGCGAACCGGGGGAACUGAAACAUCUAAGUACCCCGAGGAAAAGAAAUCAACCGAGAUUCCCCCAGUAGCGGCGAGCGAACGGGGAGGAGCCCAGAGCCUGAAUCAGCAUGUGUGUUAGUGGAAGCGUCUGGAAAGGCGCGCGAUACAGGGUGACAGCCCCGUACACAAAAGCGCAUGUGCUGUGAGCUCGAUGAGUAGGGCGGGACACGUGGUAUCCUGUCUGAAUAUGGGGGGACCAUCCUCCAAGGCUAAAUACUCCUGACUGACCGAUAGUGAACCAGUACCGUGAGGGAAAGGCGAAAAGAACCCCGGCGAGGGGAGUGAAAAAGAACCUGAAACCGUGUACGUACAAGCAGUGGGAGCNNGUGACUGCGUACCUUUUGUAUAAUGGGUCAGCGACUUAUAUUCUGUAGCAAGGUUAACCGAAUAGGGGAGCCGGAGGGAAACCGAGUCUUAAUUGGGCGUUAAGUUGCAGGGUAUAGACCCGAAACCCGGUGAUCUAGCCAUGGGCAGGUUGAAGGUUGGGUAACACUAACUGGAGGACCGAACCGACUAAUGUUGAAAAAUUAGCGGAUGACCUGUGGCUGGGGGUGAAAGGCCAAUCAAACCGGGAGAUAGCUGGUUCUCCCCGAAAGCUAUUUAGGUAGCGCCUCGUGAAUUCAUCUCCGGGGGUAGAGCACUGUUUCGGCUAGGGGGCCAUCCCGGCUUACCAACCCGAUGCAAACUGCGAAUACCGGAGAAUGUUAUCACGGGAGACACACGGCGGGUGCUAACGUCCGUCGUGAAGAGGGAAACAACCCAGACCGCCAGCUAAGGUCCCAAAGUCAUGGUUAAGUGGGAAACGAUGUGGGAAGGCCCAGACAGCCAGGAUGUUGGCUUAGAAGCAGCCAUCAUUUAAAGAAAGCGUAAUAGCUCACUGGUCGAGUCGGCCUGCGCGGAAGAUGUAACGGGGCUAAACCAUGCACCGAAGCUGCGGCAGCGANNGUUGGGUAGGGGAGCGUUCUGUAAGCCUGCGAAGGUGGCCUGUGAGGGUUGCUGGAGGUAUCAGAAGUGCGAAUGCUGACAUAAGUAACGAUAAAGCGGGUGAAAAGCCCGCUCGCCGGAAGACCAAGGGUUCCUGUCCAACGUUAAUCGGGGCAGGGUGAGUCGACCCCUAAGGCGAGGCCGAAAGGCGUAGUCGAUGGGAAACGGGUUAAUAUUCCCGUACUUGGUGUUACUGCGAAGGGGGGACGGAGAAGGCUAUGUUGGCCGGGCGACGGUUGUCCCGGUUUAAGCGUGUAGG